Molecule: non-coding RNA, 103 nt
Filed under: Methylibium petroleiphilum
Lineage: Bacteria; Pseudomonadati; Pseudomonadota; Betaproteobacteria; Burkholderiales; Sphaerotilaceae
Also listed under: 1 other name
Description: Glycine sequence
Rfam family: Glycine riboswitch aptamer
About the family: This family represents the bacterial glycine riboswitch. Glycine riboswitches usually consist of two metabolite-binding aptamers domains with similar structures in tandem.
Source: RNAcentral
UCGUUACCGUCAGGAGAGCGUUGCCGUCAGCACACCGACGGCAGCCGCCGAAGGCGCAGAGGACACACCUCGAACGCUCAGGCAAAAGGACUGGCAAACGCCU